RNAcentral lists this ribosomal RNA (207 nucleotides) under uncultured bacterium. Its description in RNAcentral is "partial 16S ribosomal RNA". It matches the Rfam family "Bacterial small subunit ribosomal RNA", at positions 568 to 774 of the family's 1533-position model. The record is from RNAcentral.
CGUGUAGGCGGUUCUUUAAGUUUGCUGUGAAAUCUCCCGGCUUAACCGGGAGGGUGCGGUGAAUACUGAGGGACUAGAGUACGGGAGAGGAAAGUGGAAUUCCUGGUGUAGCGGUGAAAUGCGUAGAUAUCAGGAGGAACACCGGUGGUGUAGACGGCUUUCUGGACCGUAACUGACGCUGAGACACGAAAGCGUGGGUAGCAAACA